This 154-nucleotide non-coding RNA is filed under the name Streptomyces katrae. RNAcentral describes it as "SAM-I sequence". It matches the Rfam family "SAM riboswitch aptamer (S box leader)". Rfam says of the family: The SAM riboswitch is found upstream of a number of genes which code for proteins involved in methionine or cysteine biosynthesis in Gram-positive bacteria. The SAM riboswitch acts at the level of transcription termination control. Lineage: Bacteria; Bacillati; Actinomycetota; Actinomycetes; Kitasatosporales; Streptomycetaceae. The record is from RNAcentral.
CGCUCAUCCAGAGGGGCAGAGGGACACGGCCCGUUGAAGCCCCGGCAACCCUCCAGUCGGUUUCUCGCGAUGCGAUACGCAUCCCGCGGGGUCCCCGGCUAGGGAAGGUGCCAAUUCCGUCUCAUGGCGAAGUGCGCCAUGGGGAAGAUGAGGA